Non-coding RNA from Populus trichocarpa (black cottonwood), 132 nucleotides. The record is from Rfam. Lineage: Eukaryota; Viridiplantae; Streptophyta; Magnoliopsida; Malpighiales; Salicaceae.
UAAGGGGGAGGAGAGACAAAUUCCACAUGCCUCUUUGUUUUUGAAAGAACCGAGGUUGAACAGAUCUAAUGACUGAGAUAUCCUUUCAGUCAUCAUUCUUUGAUUGAUGAUUCAAUUAUUGCUCGUCCAUGU